RNAcentral lists this long non-coding RNA (3494 nucleotides) under Homo sapiens (human). RNAcentral's name for it is "HSALNT0157536". Lineage: Eukaryota; Metazoa; Chordata; Mammalia; Primates; Hominidae. The record is from RNAcentral.
UCAGCCUCCCGAGUAGCUGGGAUUACAGGUGCGUGCCACCAUGCCGGGUAAUUUUUGUAUUUUUAGUUAGAGACUGGGUUUUACCAUGUUGGCCAAGAUGGUCUCCAUCUCUUGACCUCGCGAUCCACCCCCAUCGGCUUCCCAAAGCGCCGGAAUUACAGACGGGAGCCACUGCGCCCGGCCUGCCUCUCGACUUUCAAUGCCUCACCGCUCCUUAGUGAGGAAGCAAACCCGCAGAGUCUCGCCAGCCCCGGGCUCGCCUCGCGUUCCAGCACAGCCCUGGAACUCAGACCACAGAGGGAUGGAGCGACGUGGAAACCCCCCCAGAAGAGGGCCGCCCUGGAAACGUCCUUGGGCGAUGCCCAUUCCUGCCGGAAGAGGGUACUUGGGACACACUCAAGAGCCAGCGCCUGGGCUUGCAGAGCCGGCAGUCAGAAGUCAGCGCCGGCUUUGGCUUCUAAACUGUUUUUCUUCAGUAAUUGCCAGGUAAACUGCUUCUCACCUAAAAUGUGUCUCCUUUCACUUUCCCAGCUUUAAAAAAUGCCCCUUAAAUAUAAUGCCACAAGUAAGAUGAACAGCUGCUGAGAAGAUGGUUGCUGCUUCUGUGAUUGUUCAGGAAAUGCAAGACUCGAACAUCAGCGCAAGGCUGACCACACUCAGCGUUUCUUGCUUGGACAGUGAUUCAGUCCUGAGUCACCCACAGCACCAAUGAGAGACCCACAAGCAGGUGCUCACCCACAGGGCAGGUGAGGGGUCGACUCCAGGAGCAGAGCACGCCGUGCCCACCUGCUGGUGUCAGCCGCCUGCUCCUCGUUCUCCAGGUGUGGCUGCGGGUGCCCCUUCUUGUCCUGUACCACCCCUGAGCAUCCAGUCAUUUAUGUCACUCUGCUCCCACCCACUUAAACCACUGGCAUCACACACGCCGAGUGCAUUCCUGUAGCUCCAAGGUAGCAUUGCUCUUUGACCCUGGCCAUGCGCCAGAAUUGUCCGUGGGGAUUUAUGAAGAUGGGUGGCCAGAUACCACCUGGGAGUUCUGUUUUUACAGGUGUGUUGUGGAGUUUGGACACACACACACACACACACACACACACUCAAGCUUCAUGGGACAAUACGGACAUGUAGACUUGACAACUGCUCUUCUGCUGCUACAGAUAAAGGCUGAUAAGGUGUCACAGUGCUGUCACCCUCAUUGUCCACUUCAUUACUCCACAGGCAGCCCAACGCUGGGUUCACAGAAAUGGUAUAGAGGCCAGAGGGCAUGAGGAUCCAGUUCAGAUAUCCUAAGAGUAUGUUUGGAAAUCACAUCAUCUUUUCCCAUCUUUGGGGUGGCACUCACUGCCCUAGAAUCACAGGUGUAACUUCUGUCUCUGGCUCUGCCAGCCCUGCCCAUUCCCUGCAGUCUCCCACUCAGAGCCCCCAAAUUUCUCCAUAAAGUUCAAGUUCUCCAAAGUGUGACCAGAUCCUCCAUGGACCACCUAUCUUUGGAUGACACUCACCUUGCUGAAUCUAUCGCUCUUAUUCCAGAGUGGGUCCCACAGCUCUACUGGAUGAUCUUGUUCUCAAGCAAGAUAAAACUUUCCCCCAAAGUUGCCUUUUCUCCCUUUCCCAGCUCUACGGGUGCACUUGCUAGAUGGGUGAUAGUUUUCCACAGCACAGUCAUGUUUUGGAUACCGACAGCUUAGGUAAAACCACCAAAAAUGUCCUGAAUAGUUGUCAAAGAAUGCCUCAUUGAGCUCCUUUUGGGAAAUACAGUUUCUACCCAGAAUAGAAUAAAAGUGAAGAUGUAACGGAAAAAGAGAAGUUAUUGACAGACUUCUUGUGUGUUUAUAAUGGUACCUGAUGCUGUGUGGUUGCCAUGAGACCGGCCCCCAGGUGGCCUAGGAUGGAGUGCUAUCUAUGCAGCUGCCUGGUUUAUGUGCACAGUUCCCAUGUCCUGAUGAGCUGUUAACACAAAAGCUUCCUGUAGUAUGCAUGUUCUCACAAGGGUGUGUGGUCAGAUGAGGGGUGGGUGUGGCAGGAUAAGGAGCAGGUGGCAAUUCACACGUGGAGCUAAGGCAAGAGCAGUGGAGGCUCUGACAGCCUAGGGCAUGAGGGCGAGUCCCUGCACCGGUUUAUGCCUCCUGGCCCUCCGGGAGUGGAAUAUGGUUACGUAAAUGUUGAAGGAACCAGAUUUGCAGAAUAGAGGCCACUGGCCAUUAUGUAAACUCUCUUCUGAGUCUUAAGAAAUGAAUGGUCCCCUCCCUGGAAAAGCAAAGAUUCUCUGGAUGAAAAGUAUUGUGGCUGUUCAGUCACUUUAAAUCAGAGUUUUUGAAAAGUACAUUUUAAAGCUCUUUUGCUAUCAUACUUUUAAAAAUAACAGGAGGUCAGAGUCUUGGGUGGUAAAUCAAAAUAGAAACAGCUUAAUUUGGUGACAGCUGUAAGAUAUCUUGCUCUUCCCAGAGCUCCUAAACAUUGGCCUGCAGGGCGUGUGUCCACCCACCAGGGUCACUUGUUUUACCAAAGCAAUCUCGGAAGGGUGGCUGUGGGUGUGUGGGUGGAAUGUCACACAGACAUCUCAUUUCCCCCUCACUUUACAUGAGAACAUAACUAUUUUUCUUCUUAAAAUAUAGUCUCCUACCCUCACGAGUAAGGAGAGAUUGGUACAUUUGGCUAAGUGUUGUGUCUAGGAGAUUUGGUUUACAGGUCUUCUCCAUGCCUUUUCUACUAGAAAGUGUGUGUCAAAUAACUUCAUUCAGUGUUGGUUAAAAUAUUUGAUCCUUUUUGUUUUUUUUUUUUUUUUUUCUCUUAGCGCAGUUGCUGCUAGGGAAUAUGUUAGAAGCUAUUUCUUUAUUUGUUCAUUUGUGAACUUUCCUUCUACAUGUUCCUUUGCCCUAGAUAGCCUGUCAAAGAAUUUUAAGCCAAAGAAUUUUUCUCCAAAUAUGCCUGGGGUAAAACAGAAUUUUGUAAUAGAAAUGUAGACAGCCUUCUAGAUGUGAACUCUUCUCAUGAUGUUAAACAGCAUCUGUCUUCAAGGACGCAUCUGCCUUUAGUGAAGAGGGAAGGUCUGACUUAAAAGGAUCAUUUUGAGAAAGGCUCCAACAGAGGACACAAAUCCUCCCUAAGGGGCAGAGAGCAGAGGGUAUUGUUUACAAAGUGGGCUCAGACGUUGGUGGCUUGCGUUCAACUCCCAAAUUCAUCAGUUACUGAGUUUGUGUGUCGGUGAAUGACUUCACCUCUCUGGACCCAGUUUCCCUGUCUUUGACAUAGGAAUGAUGACACAGAAAUCAUGAUAUAAUGCCUCAAACACGCUCACAACUGUGCUCAGAGCAUAGUGACACUUGGCCUGUGCUGUUGACUGUUAUUGACAAACCCAAGUUUCUUUUCUCUUACAACUUCAUGGAGAAAUAGGUCUUCUUUGAAUGUGCCUUGUGGUACCAGGGGACCUCACAAACCUCUUCAACCUUUGGUUGUCUAAGCAAGCCUGGGAAAUGUAGCAGUGCAUCCUUGAAAAAAUC